UACGGGGGGUGCGAGCGUUGUCCGGAAUCAUUGGGCGUAAAGGGUCCGCAGGUGGCAGUGUAAGUCUGCUGUCAAAGAAUGAGGCUUAACCUCAUCAAGGCAGUGGAAACUACACAGCUAGAGUACGGUCGGGGUAGAAGGAAUUCCUGGUGUAGCGGUGAAAUGCGCAGAUAUCAGGAGGAACACCGGUGGCGAAGGCGGGUCUCUGGGCCGAUACUGACGCUGAGGAGCGAAAGCGUGGGGAGCGAACAGG
This 253-nucleotide ribosomal RNA is filed under the name uncultured bacterium. Its description in RNAcentral is "partial 16S ribosomal RNA". It matches the Rfam family "Bacterial small subunit ribosomal RNA", at positions 524 to 776 of the family's 1533-position model. The record is from RNAcentral.